UGGGGAAUUUUGGACAAUGGGCGAAAGCCUGAUCCAGCAAUGCCGCGUGUGUGAAGAAGGCCUUCGGGUUGUAAAGCACUUUUGUCCGGAAAGAAAUGGCUCUGGUUAAUACCUGGGGUCGAUGACGGUACCGGAAGAAUAAGGACCGGCUAACUACGUGCCAGCAGCCGCGGUAAUACGUAGGGUCCAAGCGUUAAUCGGAAUUACUGGGCGUAAAGCGUGCGCAGGCGGUUGUGCAAGACCGAUGUGAAAUCCCCGAGCUUAACUUGGGAAUUGCAUUGGUGACUGCACGGCUAGAGUGUGUCAGAGGGGGGUUAGAAUUCCACGUGUAGCAGUGAAAUGCGUAGAGAUGUGGAGGAAUACCGAUGGCGAAGGCAGCCCCCUGGGAUAACACUGACGCUCAUGCACGAAAGCGUGGGGAGCAAACAGGAUUAGAUACCCUGGUAGUCCACGCCCUAAACGAUGUCAACUAGUUGUUGGGGAUUCAUUUCCUUAGUAACGUAGCUAACGCGUGAAGUUGACCGCCUGGGGAGUACGGUCGCAAGAUUAAAAGC
This 554-nucleotide ribosomal RNA is filed under the name uncultured bacterium. Its description in RNAcentral is "partial 16S ribosomal RNA". It matches the Rfam family "Bacterial small subunit ribosomal RNA", at positions 355 to 901 of the family's 1533-position model. The record is from RNAcentral.